Molecule: long non-coding RNA, 1478 nt
Organism: Microcebus murinus (gray mouse lemur)
Lineage: Eukaryota; Metazoa; Chordata; Mammalia; Primates; Cheirogaleidae
Source: RefSeq, a predicted model, not a curated record
CAACACCACCAUGCGGCAUGUCACUGGGGUGAAAUGAGAUCAGGAGCUAACAUCCCUCCGAAGCCCUCUCCACAUGGGCUCUGUCGCCCUGCCCUUGGAUGCCUCAGCACCAGGGAGGACAGUGAGCAGCAGCGUGACGGCUGAAGCUCGAGAGUGUCCUUAUCUGGAGCCCACCCUGCUCCACCAUCCAUUGGGUCCUGGCAGUCACUUCCUCCUCUCUGCUCCUGGGGAAUGGCGUGCACAUCAGGGAAGAAUGCCAUGGAAGAAGGAAAGGAGAGAAUAAUCACUGGACCAAGCCAGAUGACCAGGGCAGAAAGAAAAUGUAUUCCCGUCUUCCCAGACUGCAAGAGAUGGAGAAUGCUUGGGAACUCCGACCUAGAACGGAUUCUACAUUGGCCUCAUUAACAGCUACUUGGAAAAUAAAUCUUGAUCCAGGAGUUUGGCAAAACCGUGUGCUUCACAUCGUAGGACAAGUGGCAGCGCCACUGGUGAUACCCGAGAAACCCCCGUAAGGGGACUGGACCGCAUCCCAGCCAGAGCUUCUGAAACGUCCGUCCGUCCUCCCCAUGUCUGUGACUGUGUCCUAGGGCAGUGCCAGGUCAGCCCCGGGGCUGUCUAGCUACGCUGUCUAGCUUCAGAUUCUCAGAUCUGAAGGGGGCAACUGAAGUUUUCCACUGCAGUAACCCCUCUGUUUCCAGGGAAGCAGACAUUCCUUCUUGGCUCCCCCGCGCUGGUGUUCGGCGAAGCCAGCCUGGGGAUGGGCACCUGUGCAGGUAGCCGUGUGGGCCGGACCAAGGCCACCGUGGGAGCCUCGGGACCCAGAAGCCCACGGGAGGGCGGCAUCCCGGGAGGGGAGCAGAGUCCUCAGCCAGGCCGGGGGCGACGCCGGUGCAGUCGGCAGCAGGCGGGGGUCUGGAGUCUGGGAGGCCUGGCUCCCGCUUGGCAGCGCGGACGGACCAAUCCUCGAACACCUCUCACCAAGUUAAAAAUGGAACCAGUCACGAUCGCCCAUGGGCGUUUGUCGUUUGUUGCUCUCCUGUAAUUAAACGUGCUACUCAAGCUCUGAAUAGUAGCAGGCACAUGUUUACAUUCUGGGCUUUCCUCCAGCCAGUGCCCCCCAGACUGCCCUUCCAUGUGUCACCCCUCCAAGUUCCCUUUCCAACGUGUCUCAUUUUGCUGUGGGGGUGUAUCCUCCCCACCUCCUCCACGCCCUGGACAGCGUGUCCCCUCACCUCUCCCAGAGCUGACGGCCACGGUGGGAGUCUCAGCCCGGCUCCGGCCCGCAGGGAGGCACUUGUGGGCAGGGAGCCUCUGGCCGCCUUGCUCUGCUGCCCGGCCCUGUACCCGUAAGGAGAGUGAGGUCUCCUGCAGACCACUGGGAGCGAGUUGACUGGGGAAACGUGUGCUAUUGUAUACAGAGGGAAGUGUAGAAAUGCAAGUUUAGAUUUCAAACACCAAGUGUCAGUAAUCAGCAAUGA